This 429-nucleotide ribosomal RNA is filed under the name Chloroflexota bacterium. RNAcentral describes it as "Chloroflexi bacterium partial 16S ribosomal RNA". It matches the Rfam family "Bacterial small subunit ribosomal RNA", at positions 355 to 776 of the family's 1533-position model. The record is from RNAcentral. Lineage: Bacteria; Bacillati; Chloroflexota.
UGGGGAAUAUUGCACAAUGGGCGCAAGCCUGAUGCAGCCAUGCCGCGUGUGUGAAGAAGGCCUUCGGGUUUUAAAGCACUUUCAGCGGGGAGGAAGGCGGUGAGGUUAAUAACCUCAUCGAUUGACGUUACCCGCAGAAGAAGCACCGGCUAACUCCGUGCCAGCAGCCGCGGUAAUACGGAGGGUGCAAGCGUUAAUCGGAAUUACUGGGCGUAAAGCGCACGCAGGCGGUUGAUUGAGUCAGAUGUGAAAUCCCCGGGCUUAACCCGGGAAUUGCAUCUGAUACUGGUCAGCUAGAGUCUUGUAGAGGGGGGUAGAAUUCCAUGUGUAGCGGUGAAAUGCGUAGAGAUGUGGAGGAAUACCGGUGGCGAAGGCGGCCCCCUGGACAAAGACUGACGCUCAGGUGCGAAAGCGUGGGGAGCAAACAGG